This 471-nucleotide ribosomal RNA is filed under the name Bigelowiella longifila. RNAcentral describes it as "partial Bacterial large subunit ribosomal RNA". It matches the Rfam family "Bacterial large subunit ribosomal RNA", at positions 524 to 990 of the family's 2925-position model. The record is from RNAcentral. Lineage: Eukaryota; Cercozoa; Chlorarachniophyceae.
CCCCGACGAGGGGAGUGAAACAGUUCCUGAAACUGGAUGCCUACAAACAGUUGGAGCCCAAGGUUCGUCCUGGGUGACAGCGUACCUUUUGUAUAAUGGGUCAGCGACUUAAUCUAGCAAGCAAGCUUAAACCGUUAGGUGUAGGCGUAGCGAAAGCGAGUCUUAAUAGGGCGACUGAGUUAGAUGCAUUAGACCCGAAACCGAGUGAUCUAGGCAUGACCAGGAUGAAGGUAAGGUAACACUUACUGGAGGUCCGAACCCACACCUGUUGAAAAAGGUCGGGAUGAGUUGUGCCUAGGGGUGAAAGGCCAAUCAAACUCGGAGAUAGCUGGUUCUCUGCGAAAUCUAUUUAGGUAGAGCGUCAUCCGAAUACCCCGGGGGGUAGAGCACUGGAUGGGUAAUGGGGCCCCACAGGCUUACUGAUCCUAACCAAACUCCGAAUACCCGGGAGUACUAGAUGGCAGACACACU